GUGGGGAAUUUUGGACAAUGGGCGCAAGCCUGAUCCAGCCAUGCCGCGUGCAGGAUGAAGGCCUUCGGGUUGUAAACUGCUUUUGUACGGAACGAAAAGGUGCCUUCUAAUAAAGGGCGCUCAUGACGGUACCGUAAGAAUAAGCACCGGCUAACUACGUGCCAGCAGCCGCGGUAAUACGUAGGGUGCGAGCGUUAAUCGGAAUUACUGGGCGUAAAGCGUGCGCAGGCGGUUUUGUAAGACAGAGGUGAAAUCUCCGGGCUCAACCUGGGAACUGCCUUUGUGACUGCAAGGCUGGAGUGCGGCAGAGGGGGAUGGAAUUCCGCGUGUAGCAGUGAAAUGCGUAGAUAUGCGGAGGAACACCGAUGGCGAAGGCAAUCCCCUGGGCCUGCACUGACGCUCAUGCACGAAAGCGUGGGGAGCAAACA
RNAcentral lists this ribosomal RNA (428 nucleotides) under uncultured bacterium. RNAcentral describes it as "bacterial SSU rRNA". It matches the Rfam family "Bacterial small subunit ribosomal RNA", at positions 354 to 774 of the family's 1533-position model. The record is from RNAcentral.